GAGUUUGAGUCCUGGCUCAGAUUGAACGCUGGCGGCAGGCUUAACACAUGCAAGUCGAGCGGGGGAGAUUGCUUCGGUAAUUGACCUAGCGGCGGACGGGUGAGUAAUACUUAGGAAUCUGCCUAUUAAUGGGGGACAACAUCUCGAAAGGGAUGCUAAUACCGCAUACGCCCUACGGGGAAAGCAGGGGAUCACUUGUGACCUUGCGUUAAUAGAUGAGCCUAAGUCGGAUUAGCUAGUUGGUGGGGUAAAGGCCUACCAAGGCGACGAUCUGUAGCGGGUCUGAGAGGAUGAUCCGCCACACUGGGACUGAGACACGGCCCAGACUCCUACGGGAGGCAGCAGUGGGGAAUAUUGGACAAUGGGGGGAACCCUGAUCCAGCCAUGCCGCGUGUGUGAAGAAGGCCUUAUGGUUGUAAAGCACUUUAAGCGAGGAGGAGGCUCCUGUAGUUAAUACCUACAGAGAGUGGACGUUACUCGCAGAAUAAGCACCGGCUAACUCUGUGCCAGCCG
RNAcentral lists this ribosomal RNA (513 nucleotides) under uncultured microorganism. Its description in RNAcentral is "bacterial SSU rRNA". It matches the Rfam family "Bacterial small subunit ribosomal RNA", at positions 9 to 514 of the family's 1533-position model. The record is from RNAcentral.